RNAcentral lists this unclassified non-coding RNA (1974 nucleotides) under Leishmania donovani. RNAcentral describes it as "gene:LdHU3.22.0220(CDS-product:Uncharacterized_co nserved_protein_(DUF2036)_putative)". The record is from RNAcentral. Lineage: Eukaryota; Euglenozoa; Kinetoplastea; Trypanosomatida; Trypanosomatidae.
UGUCUCUGAGUACUCCGCCUUCCCUCCUCCCGGCUGCCCCGGCACAUCUUGUGUUGCUAUUUUUGGAUGCGCCCUUCGCUGUUUCUCGUCCCUCGCGCCUCUUAUCACUACCCGCGCACGAGGACAGCGAUGUACCGCCACCGAUAGCGCGAGGGUGUAAAGGCACACAAAGGGAAGGAAGACAUAUGGUUUAGUGGUGUAUCGCCCUUUCCGUCAUCCAGGCGCGCCGCGUUCGUUACGGGGGCUCACACAGUUAUUCAUAGAAACGCCGUGCAUAUGAAAAUAGCAGUAUCCUCAUAGAGAAAAAAAAACGGCGUACUUUAGGCUCACAAUUUUGCUCUGUCCGUCUUCUGAAGCUUCCGCCGUUGCCAUCACCGCCAAUCCUAAUCGUAACGCGUGUAUGGAUCACAUAUUUGUCCGCUCCGACUUCGCGUGCCGGCACGAGUACCGACUCGUCUCCGUCGAUGACGCGUGCGUGAAGCAGCUGAAGGAGCAGGUGUACCCGAGCCCCUCUGCUGGCAACGGUGCAGCCAGAAGCAAGCGGGCGCGUGCCUCGUCGCCCCCCUCAGCGACAAUAUGUAGUGGUGACGUCGCAGUCGUGUUCGUCAUGAAGGGUGACGGGCAGCUUUGUCUGCACGACGCACAGUCGACCCGCUCCGUCCGCCGCGUCGAGUACUCGAACACGAUGCUGCUGGCAACGCGACGGCUCAACCGCGCCGGCAGGUCUGCCGUCUGUGAGUCUCGAGGAAGGGGCAGUGAUGUCUGCAACACUGAGGAAACAGCCACAGUCACGGCUACUCCUCUGCCCGCAUCCAGAGUCCGCCAGUACACAAAUAACGUCGUCGUCGCCUCCCUGAGCCACAUGUUUGACAGUCAUGCCGCGCAUCCGCAGGACAACGUGUCGGCUGUGCUGGGUGAGUCGUACUUGACUAUCGAGGAACUCGAGGGCACCGACGGGGGCAGCAGUGGCAGUGGGGUCGCCGGUCCAUCAGGGCGCGGGUACACCUUUGCGCAACUCGCUCGCAUGUUCCGCAGCAGUCCCGCGGAGCUCGCCGAUCUGCUGCAGAGCAUCGGCGCGGUCGUGCACCGUGGCCUCGUUCGCCUUCUCCAUCCUUCCCUUGCGCAUGAGUCCUUGGCAGCGGUUCUGGCGUUUCUCGACGCCGCAGAGCCAUGCGAUGCCUCUUGGGCUGCCGCGCGGGAGCACCUCUGUCCGUCCGUCUACCCGGACGUCGUGCUACGUUCACUGGAGGCCGUGUACGGCGCGCGGCGAGGCGCAGGUGAGGCGACGAAAGACAAUGACUCCGUGGUGCUGGUAGGGAUGCCAGCACUGCUAAACCUGCCGCGAGUGCUGGUGGGUCUCGCCGGUGGUGUGUUUGAUGCGCACCAAGCCGUUGUUCACCGAACCCUCGGCACCGGCGAGGUUGCUUGUGGGUUGCCGCUGGAGACGUUCGCAAAGGCGUGGAUGGAUGCGAUUCCGUCGUCCCUCUUCGGCGUGGCUGGCAUCCCGCACCGGGGCGCGGCAGGGGCGCAGAAGACUCUCAUGGAGAAGCUGCGUGGCUACGUGGUGGUAGAGCCGCGUAGCGGCGGCUUUGGUGGCAGCAUGCAGGAUACGGUAUGGUGGGUACCGAAAGAGUCCCUCAGCAUCGACUUUGCCGCUCGCCUCCGCGCACUCUUCGAGCUGCGCCCGCAGUUGUGGGACCAGAUGGAGCUGAAAGAGUACGUUGGGACGCUGGUUCCACCAGACCAAAGCUUCGAGCACGUCAUUGUGCGCCACACGCGAGAGUACCGGAUACCAGGGCAGCCCGUGCAGUACGCUCCGCUCGCGUGACGCCGCAGUGGUGGAAGCGCUGCUGCUCGUUCGCACGCGUUUUGCCGCGCAGGUCGAUCCGAAUGCCGGCCCAUCUCUGUUUAACUUGCGUGUACUUCUCUGUUCUCACAAAUUCCGGUACCUCUACACCCACAGGGGCAUCGCUG